AAUCCAUAGGUUAAUGAGGCGAACCGGGGGAACUGAAACAUCUAAGUACCCCGAGGAAAAGAAAUCAACCGAGAUUCCCCCAGUAGCGGCGAGCGAACGGGGAGGAGCCCAGAGCCUGAAUCAGCAUGUGUGUUAGUGGAAGCGUCUGGAAAGGCGCGCGAUACAGGGUGACAGCCCCGUACACAAAAGCGCAUGUGCUGUGAGCUCGAUGAGUAGGGCGGGACACGUGGUAUCCUGUCUGAAUAUGGGGGGACCAUCCUCCAAGGCUAAAUACUCCUGACUGACCGAUAGUGAACCAGUACCGUGAGGGAAAGGCGAAAAGAACCCCGGCGAGGGGAGUGAAAAAGAACCUGAAACCGUGUACGUACAAGCAGUGGGAGCACAGGUUUACCUGUGUGACUGCGUACCUUUUGUAUAAUGGGUCAGCGACUUAUAUUCUGUAGCAAGGUUAACCGAAUAGGGGAGCCGGAGGGAAACCGAGUCUUAAUUGGGCGUUAAGUUGCAGGGUAUAGACCCGAAACCCGGUGAUCUAGCCAUGG
RNAcentral lists this ribosomal RNA (539 nucleotides) under Salmonella enterica subsp. enterica serovar Newport. Its description in RNAcentral is "partial 23S ribosomal RNA". It matches the Rfam family "Bacterial large subunit ribosomal RNA", at positions 161 to 739 of the family's 2925-position model. Lineage: Bacteria; Pseudomonadati; Pseudomonadota; Gammaproteobacteria; Enterobacterales; Enterobacteriaceae. The record is from RNAcentral.